CCUACGCGCGGCAGCAGUGGGGAAUAUUGGACAAUGGGCGAAAGCCUGAUCCAGCCAUGCCGCGUGUGUGAAGAAGGCCUUCGGGUUGUAAAGCACUUUCAGUGGGGAAGAAAGCCUUGGGGCUAAUACCCUCGAGGAAGGACAUCACCCACAGAAGAAGCACCGGCUAACUCCGUGCCAGCAGCCGCGGUAAUACGGAGGGUGCGAGCGUUAAUCGGAAUUACUGGGCGUAAAGCGCGCGUAGGCGGUCUGAUAAGCCGGUUGUGAAAGCCCCGGGCUCAACCUGGGAACGGCAUCCGGAACUGUCAGGCUAGAGUGCAGGAGAGGAAGGUAGAAUUCCCGGUGUAGCGGUGAAAUGCGUAGAGAUCGGGAGGAAUACCAGUGGCGAAGGCGGCCUUCUGGACUGACACUGACGCUGAGGUGCGAAAGCGUGGGUAGCAAACAGGAUUAGAUACCCCAGUAGUC
This 465-nucleotide ribosomal RNA is filed under the name Vreelandella stevensii. RNAcentral describes it as "partial 16S ribosomal RNA". It matches the Rfam family "Bacterial small subunit ribosomal RNA", at positions 338 to 795 of the family's 1533-position model. Lineage: Bacteria; Pseudomonadati; Pseudomonadota; Gammaproteobacteria; Oceanospirillales; Halomonadaceae. The record is from RNAcentral.